This 74-nucleotide transfer RNA is filed under the name Albidovulum sp. Its description in RNAcentral is "tRNA-Cys". It matches the Rfam family "tRNA". From Rfam's summary of the family: Transfer RNA (tRNA) molecules are approximately 80 nucleotides in length. Their secondary structure includes four short double-helical elements and three loops (D, anti-codon, and T loops). The record is from RNAcentral. Lineage: Bacteria; Pseudomonadati; Pseudomonadota; Alphaproteobacteria; Rhodobacterales; Paracoccaceae.
GGCGAGUUGGCGGAGUGGCUACGCAGCGGAUUGCAAAUCCGUCCACACCGGUUCGAUUCCGGUACUCGCCUCCA